Molecule: long non-coding RNA, 669 nt
Filed under: Mus musculus (house mouse)
Lineage: Eukaryota; Metazoa; Chordata; Mammalia; Rodentia; Muridae
Description: predicted gene, 49853
Source: RNAcentral
AACUUAGAAAGGGGCCAGAGUUCAAGGAGCAUGAGGGACCACCUACCUGUCACAAAGCUAUGGGAACUGAAACACAGAUACCGAAGAAAUAAAAGAAACUGGCUCCACAGAGAUCAGGGCAAUAUUAAAGGAAGGACCCAUCUGGUUGUAGACCAAUACAUUCUCCACUGAGUAAGAAGAAUUUUGAUGGUUUUAAAUUCUACAAAUGAAGACGACUUUAGUUGUUGUUUCUUUCCUCCAUGGGAAUACACGUGGGGAUCUUUUUGUGGCCAUUUACUUCUCCUUGCAAGAGAACAGUAUUCUUCACAGAAUACGUGGCUUAAGAAGACAUUUUGUUUCGACUUCAGAAAUAUCUUCUUCAACCUGUGGGCAAGAGUUAAAAUCGGAGUAAAGAUCCAACGCCUCUCUGAGAUUUGCACAGUCACUGGAUGCGCUGAAGAAUGGAGAAGCCUGAGAACAUCUCUUCAGGACUGAGCAUCAGUGACUCCCAUGGCUUAUGUGCUCAUGUGUUUCUCUCUUAGGUCUUCACUGAGUUGUUUUCUUACCUCCCCUAUAACUGCUUUUCCUAACUGUGUGUGAUAACCAGUAGUCAUGUCAACCUCAAGGGAUGGGGAAUUUGCAUGAAAGAUGAACAACAACUCUUGCAUUAAAGAUGAAUCACCACUCUGA